UGCUGCAUGGCUGUCGUCAGCUCGUGUCGUGAGAUGUUGGGUUAAGUCCGCAACGAGCGCAACCCCUAUCUCUAGUUGCCAGCGAUUCGGUCGGGGACUCUAGAGAUACUGCCCCGGUUAACGGGGAGGAAGGUGGGGAUGACGUCAAGUCCUCAUGGCCCUUACAUCCCGGGCUACACACGUGCUACAAUGGCAGGUACAGAGGGCUGCGAAGCCGCGAGGUGGAGCGAAUCCCAGAAAACCUGUCUCAGUCCGGAUUGAAGUCUGCAACUCGACUUCAUGAGGGCGGAAUCGCUAGUAACCGCGAAUCAGCAGGUCGCGGUGAAUACGUUCCCGGGCCUU
Molecule: ribosomal RNA, 342 nt
Filed under: uncultured Desulfobacterium sp.
Lineage: Bacteria; Pseudomonadati; Thermodesulfobacteriota; Desulfobacteria; Desulfobacterales; Desulfobacteriaceae
Description: bacterial SSU rRNA
Rfam family: Bacterial small subunit ribosomal RNA
Source: RNAcentral